AGGAAUAGCUAAUGUGAACGCAUACACUAAACCCAAAGUACGGGGAAGUAUUUUUUUAACCAUGGCGAUCUCCUCAGAUGCAAGGCCACAAAAUCAGCCACCUACUUGUUAUUAUUAAUUUAAAAUGCAAUUUAAAUGCCAAGUAGUUUUCAGUUACUUAAGCAAGCCAAUCUAAAGGUGAGAUUGCUUUCCCUCGUAGCCUUAUCUCAAAGUAUAGGCCGUUUUGUUUAAUACCGCCGCUAUGACC
RNAcentral lists this non-coding RNA (247 nucleotides) under uncultured Legionella sp. Lineage: Bacteria; Pseudomonadati; Pseudomonadota; Gammaproteobacteria; Legionellales; Legionellaceae. The record is from RNAcentral.